AGCGAACGCUGGCGGCAGGCCUAACACAUGCAAGUCGAACGAACCUUUCGGGGUUAGUGGCGGACGGGUGAGUAACACGUGGGAACGUGCCUUUAGGUUCGGAAUAACUCAGGGAAACUUGUGCUAAUACCGAAUGUGCCCUUCGGGGGAAAGAUUUAUCGCCUUUAGGGCGGCCCGCGUCUGAUUAGCUAGUUGGUUGAGGUAAUGGCUCACCAAGGCGACGAUCAGUAGCUGGUCUGAGAGGAUGAUCAGCCACAUUGGGACUGAGACACGGCCCAAACUCCUACGGGAGGCAGCAGUGGGGAAUCUUGCGCAAUGGGCGAAAGCCUGACGCAGCCAUGCCGCGUGAAUGAUGAAGGUCUUAGGAUUGUAAAAUUCUUUCAACGGGGACGAUAAUGACGGUACCCGGAGAAGAAGCCCCGGCUAACUUCGUG
Molecule: ribosomal RNA, 434 nt
Filed under: uncultured bacterium
Lineage: Bacteria
Description: partial 16S ribosomal RNA
Rfam family: Bacterial small subunit ribosomal RNA
Source: RNAcentral